UACAGAGACUGCAAGCGUUAUUCGGAUUCACUGGGCGUAAAGGGUGCGCAGGCGGCCAAGUGUGUUAGGCGUGAAAGCCCGGGGCUUAACCCCGGAAUUGCACCUAAAACUACAUGGCUAGAGCAUUGGAGAGGGUAGCGGAAUUCACGGUGUAGCAGUGAAAUGCGUAGAUAUCGUGAGGAACACCAGAGGCGAAGGCGGCUACCUGGACAAUUGCUGACGCUCAGGCGCGAAAGCGUGGGGAGCAAAAGGG
RNAcentral lists this ribosomal RNA (253 nucleotides) under uncultured bacterium. RNAcentral's name for it is "partial 16S ribosomal RNA". It matches the Rfam family "Bacterial small subunit ribosomal RNA", at positions 524 to 776 of the family's 1533-position model. The record is from RNAcentral.